AGCGAACGCUGGCGGCAGGCUUAACACAUGCAAGUCGAGCGGGCACUUUCGGGUGUCCGCGGCGGACGGGUGAGUAACGCGUGGGAACGUGCCCUCUGGUUCGGAAUAACUCAGGGAAACUUGAGCUAAUACCGGAUACGCCCUUUUGGGGAAAGGCUUGCUGCCGGAGGAUCGGCCCGCGUCUGAUUAGCUAGUUGGUGAGGUAACGGCUCACCAAGGCGACGAUCAGUAGCUGGUCUGAGGAUGAUCAGCCACACUGGGACUGAGACACGGCCCAGACUCCUACGGGAGGCAGCAGUGGGGAAUAUUGGACAAUGGGCGCAAGCCUGAUCCAGCCAUGCCGCGUGAGUGAUGAAGGCCUUAGGGUUGUAAAGCUCUUUUAUCCGGGACGAUAAUGACGGUACCGGAGGAAUAAGCCCCGGCUAACUUCGUG
Molecule: ribosomal RNA, 433 nt
Filed under: uncultured bacterium
Lineage: Bacteria
Description: partial 16S ribosomal RNA
Rfam family: Bacterial small subunit ribosomal RNA
Source: RNAcentral